GAAUUGGAGUUCAAACUCAUAAUCUCAGAGAUAAAUUCAGUACUUAAAACUCCUUGAAAUCAAAAUACAAUGAGAAUGCAAAUCUAGAGAUUUAGUUAAGUAGUAAUAUAAUCUCCAGAAUUCACAAUAGCUUUUCAAUUACACAAAUAGUAACUUCAAUCUCAUACCAUCUAGCAUCCAUAUAGUUCAGGACGGAGGCGCGGGAUGAUCUUAAUCUCCAAGGGAGUAGCCUUGGGCAAGGUAAUGCCCAAGCCUUCACUCAUGUCUACUGGCUCAUUCAAUGGUGUUGUCAAGGUAAAUCCCUGAAGCAAUCUAGCAAGAGUCAAGUGUAUCGCCUGUAUUGCAAAGUUGAGCCCAGGACAAGACCGUCUCCCUGACCCAAAUGGUAUAUACUCGAAAUUCUGACCUGUAACAUCCAAAUUUGCAUGAUUUGUAAGGAAUCUUUCUGGUAUGAACUCAUCAGGAUUCUUCCAAAUUUUUGGAUCUCUAUGCAACUUCCACAAAUUAGGAAAUAUACGAGUGCCUUUUGGUAUGUGAUAUCCUCCAAUGAGACAAUCUUCCGAAGCCUCAUGUGGAACUGCUAGUGGACCUGGCGGAUAUAGGCGCAGUGUUUCUUUAACAAUGGCCUGGACGUAUACUAAGUUUUCAAUAUCAGAGCUCUCUACACAUCGUUCCUUCCCAACUUUGAGGUCUAUUUCUUCCAUGGCAAGCUCUAGUGCGCGUCUAUUGUUCAACAAAUUGGACAAGAUCCAUGUCAGGGUGAUAGAUGUUGUAUCGGCACCUGCUAUGAUAAGAGUCAUUGCUGUGCCCUUGAUAAUGUUUUCCCGAGAAUGACCGAAGAACUCAUCCUCCAGUACAGAUAGCAUCACAUCGAUGAAGUCCUCCUCCAUGUUCUCGGAGUCACCCAUCUUCAGUCUCUUCAAUUUAUGUUCAUUAAUCCAACUUUCCAUAAGGGAAUCGUAUUCCUUGGAUAAACGCUUCAUAGUUUUUACUGGUCCAAGAAAAUUCAUCCACCAAAGAGAUGGGAUUAAAUCAGAUGGAACAAAAACACCAGAAAUAUACAUGUACUCCUUCAUAAGUUCCCCUAUUCGUUUCCCUUGUUCAUUUCCAGCAUUAGCAGAGUUGAAGUAUCUCUUCCCUGCAAUCAUUCUCGUAAUCAUAUUUAUAGUCAGAUGUUCGAAACAUUCGCUGAUCACUAUCUUGGUUGAGCCUUGCUUGCAGAGCAAAUACAGGUCAUUGAUCAGGGUGUUUACCUCAGAGACCUGAACGUGCCUAAGUGACUUGAGCCUAUGGUUGGAUAAGAGUUGAAUCAACACUAUCUUACGCAUGUUACUCCAAAAAGGGCCAUAAGAUGAGAAACCAAAUGCUGCGUAGUUGUAACUUAGAUACUGUCCAUGGCUUGAUCUUGGCCUGGAUGCCAAAACCUUGUCAUUUGUUGUAAAGCACUCCUUAAUUGCAUCAUGAUUGCUAACCACAACCGUACGGUGUACCCCGAGCCAAAUUGUGAAGAUGGGACCAUAUUUGUCUGCCAGGCGACCCAGGCUUCGAGCAAGUGUUUUCUCAGCACCCAGUAGAUGUAUGUGACCUAUAAUUGGCAAGGUUCCUGGUACUUCUGGGGCUAAUUUACCCUUACUUUUAUGACUCUGAUCUCUUAACCUCCAUAGAUUGUACCAAUACAAUAAAACUAAUGCUAAAACCCCCGGAAUUGCUAGAAGAUGAGAAGAGAAAUCCAUCGGGAGCUGUGGAGUCUGAGAAAUUAAUUGCUGAAUCACCAAAAGAGUAAAUGCAGAGGAAGUAUGAGCAGUUC
This 1807-nucleotide unclassified non-coding RNA is filed under the name Hevea brasiliensis (rubber tree). Lineage: Eukaryota; Viridiplantae; Streptophyta; Magnoliopsida; Malpighiales; Euphorbiaceae. The record is from RNAcentral.